AGGAAGGUGGGGAUGACGUCAAGUCCUCAUGGCCCUUAUGUCCAGGGCUACACACGUGCUACAAUGGCCGGUACAAAGGGCUGCAAGACCGUGAGGUUGAGCGAAUCCCAGAAAGCCGGUCUCAGUUCGGAUUGGAGUCUGCAACUCGGCUCCAUGAAGUUGGAAUCGCUAGUAAUCGCGGAUCAGCAUGCCGCGGUGAAUACGUUCCCGGGCCGUU
This 217-nucleotide ribosomal RNA is filed under the name uncultured Desulfuromonas sp. RNAcentral's name for it is "partial 16S ribosomal RNA". It matches the Rfam family "Bacterial small subunit ribosomal RNA", at positions 1167 to 1382 of the family's 1533-position model. Lineage: Bacteria; Pseudomonadati; Thermodesulfobacteriota; Desulfuromonadia; Desulfuromonadales; Desulfuromonadaceae. The record is from RNAcentral.